Molecule: ribosomal RNA, 499 nt
Filed under: uncultured bacterium
Lineage: Bacteria
Description: partial 16S ribosomal RNA
Rfam family: Bacterial small subunit ribosomal RNA
Source: RNAcentral
GACGAACGCUGGCGGCGUGCUUAACACAUGCAAGUCGAACGGGCCCGCUCUCUUUUUUGGGGGUGGGUUGAGUGGCGAACGGGUGAGUAUCACGUGAGUAACCUGCCCCCUGCUCCUGGAUAACUGCUUGAAAGGGCGGCUAAUACGGGGUGUGCCGGCUGGUCCGCAUGGGCCUGGUCGGGAUAGUUUCAUCUUCGGGUGUUUCGGUGGGGGAUGGGCUCGCGGCCUGUCAGCUUGUUGGUGGGGUGAUGGCCCACCAAGGCGGUGACGGGUAGCCGGGCUGAGGGGGUGGGCGGCCACACUGGGACUGGGACACGGCCCAGACUCCUGCGGGAGGCGGCAGUGGGGGGUAUUGCACGAUGGGCGGAAGCCUGAUGCAGCGACGGCGCGUGAGGGAUGGAGGCCGUCGGGUUGUGAACCUCUUUCUCCGGAGGUGAAGGCCCUGUCCGUUGCGGCGGGGUUGACGGUAGCCGGGUAUGAAGCGCCGGCUAACUACGUG